CUCCCGCCUGGCUCUCGCCUCGGCCUGCGGCCGGGAUCCUCCGCCCGGGUCGCGCAGCGGAGGCCGAGGGCUGGGACGGGCGGCUGGGAAGUGGGAAAGGGAGCUCCUUUUGUCUUCUCUUCCCAUCCCCCAGGUUUGGGAAAGUUUUCCUUUUGGGAAAGCCCCUCUCUUCAGCCUGCUGGCGGGUGUCGGAUUGGUUAGCGACCACCGGCCCCCGCCUCCCCCAACAGGAUUCUCCUUUGGGCCACAGGUCUUCCGGAAGUUGCCAAACCCCGGUAGCGGCAGCGUCCGGCUGGGGGCUUUAUUAGGGGGCACCGGGGUCUGCUUUCCGACUCCCUUCCGACUCCGCGCCUGCGCAGGAAGCGAUUUGGGGAGUGUUGUGAAUUCCGAGGGCUCCACACUUAAGAGGUUGUACACUCACCUGUCUACCUGGACUCCAAUUUCCAUAUUUCCAGCCACUUGAGGACUGAGAGGUGGAUGAUAAACCCUGUCAUAGUGGAGCAAGUUCAGGUGUUUAACCGCUGUUAUGGGGGAUCUGCCUUUUCUCCCUCUUCUUUCUUACUUCCAUAAGUAUGUAUGUGCAGAGAUUGAAAAAUAACCUUGAGAGAGUCCAUCCAUCUAACUCCAGUUCAUUGGAAAUUUCUGCUUCUUUGAGACUGAGGUUAUAUUCCACUUCUUCUGACUACACCACCACCAUCAAUCUCCUUCUCUGAACUCUUGGAUCAUUACUUCAACCUGAAACAACUCAUCAGGCAGAAUAGUUGCCUACUGCCCCAACCCCACCAAAUGUUCCAGCACCUCUGAUAUUACCUCACAUGGCAAGAGGGCUUUGAAGAUGUGAUUGAGUCAAGGAUCUUGAAUGGGGAGAUUAUCCUGAAUUAUUCAGCUGGACCCAGUGUAAUCACAAAGGUUUUUCAAAGAUGGAAGAGAGGCAGAAGAGCCAGAAAAGGAUAUGUGACAAUGGAGUCAGUGUCAGAGUUGGAGUGACGUGAUGUGAGAAGGAUUCAACCUGCUGUUUCUGGCUUUGAGGAUGAAAGAAGGGGCCAUGAGCCAAGCAAUACAGGUGGCUUCUUUCAAGAAGUUGGAAAAGGAGGAAGUGGUUCUCAGAUAAUUGACUAAUCACUUCUUCAUGGUCGUGAACUCAAGGACUUACCUGUUAUGAGGGGAGAAGCAUAAUAAAGAUUACAUCAUGUGAACUUUUGAAAUAAAAUGCCCGAAGACAUAAGAGAGACCCUUACCACUGUCACACUCAAAAGGAAAGCUUAGUAGCUACAGAGAUUUAAAAAGCAAGCAAACAAGCAACCAAGCAAACAACAAAGACCUGAAGAAAAUUCCAGAAUAAUCCUCAACCUGUGCUUUCACAUGCUAAAUUUUCAUAAUGAGAAAGAUAAACUGUGUAUCUUGUGGUGUCAGUGGUCAGUGUGGUGAUAGUAGUUGUGGUUUGGGCUGCUUUUUUCCUUGUUUAUUUUUUCCAAAUUUUAUUUGGGAAAAUUUCUGCUGUUUCCAUUGUGAACUAAAGUUACAUAUACUGGAUGAUAUAACUUUAACUCCUAAGAGUAUGUUUGGCUAUGUUUUUGGAAUUAGGUAUUAUGCAUGCCACCUUGUGGCCAUUAUUAAGAAAACACCUAACAUGAAGACGAGAAACAGGAUCAUUAGUGAGAGCAGCUUGAGCUUGGAGCAGUACUUUCCCAAGUCUGUUUCUCCAACAGCAUCCUUAGAACCCUUAGAACCUGGAUAUCACAUUUUAGUGGGAGGAGACAGACAAUAAAUAAAACAAAGUAUAGUAAGUGCUCUGGAGAAAAGUAAUGCAAAGAAGAGGGCCAGAAAGUAUCAAAAAGUUUGAAAUUACAAAUAAGGUACUCUUGGAAGACCUCACUAAGGUCACAUUUGAGCAGAGAUCUGAACAGCAUGAGAGACAACUGGGGGUGGGGGGGGGCAGAAUAAUGUUUCAGAUAUGUACAUUGCAACUGCAAAGGCCUGAGACAGGAAUUUGCCUGGCCUGUUCCAGCUUAGCAAAGAAAGAGGCCUGUGUUAAUGAUACUCAGAGAGGAAGGAGGCAAUAGUAGAACAUGAAGCCAGAAAAGUGACCAGAUGCAGGAGUGACUAAGGCUUUGUAGACUGCUGUAUAGACUCUGAGGGAAAUGAGCAGUCAUUGAUGGGUUUUUCGCACAGAAGGAUCUUGGUGUGUUUUAAAAGGAACAUUCUGUAUUCUAUGUUGAAAACAGACUGAAAAGCACAAGAGAAAGAACAGGAAGAGCAAUUAGGAGGCUGUGGUAGAUUAUUAUUCAGCAAAUAUUCACCCUACUGUCCUCCCCAUAAGAUUUCCCCAGGCCACCAUCACUGGAUUUGGCUAUUUGACUUGCUGUAGUCAAUGGAAUGUGAGUGAAAAGUGACUCUGUACCAGUGGGGAGGCAAAGCCUUAAAAGACCCAGCAAAUUUCUUCCAGCCCUUUUGUGCUUCUGCCAAAAGAAUACUGUGAGCAAUCAGUGCCCUUAAGCCUGGGCCUCAGAACGAGAGAUAUGGAGCAAACCUGAACCUGAACAGCAGCCUACAAUCAAGCCAGGAUGACCCUGCAAAGCCCAGCCAACGAUAGCAAAGCCACAGCAGACUUGUAGACCAAUGAGCAUGAAAUAAAUUGCAUUGAAAGCU
This 2649-nucleotide long non-coding RNA is filed under the name Homo sapiens (human). RNAcentral describes it as "HSALNT0348267". The record is from RNAcentral. Lineage: Eukaryota; Metazoa; Chordata; Mammalia; Primates; Hominidae.